RNAcentral lists this ribosomal RNA (541 nucleotides) under Cytospora ceratosperma. RNAcentral's name for it is "LSU rRNA". It matches the Rfam family "Eukaryotic large subunit ribosomal RNA", at positions 86 to 651 of the family's 3401-position model. The record is from RNAcentral. Lineage: Eukaryota; Fungi; Ascomycota; Sordariomycetes; Diaporthales; Cytosporaceae.
ACGGCGAGUGAGCGGCAACAGCUCAAAUUUGAAAGCUGGCUCCGGCCCGCAUUGUAAUUUGCAGAGGAUGCUUCUGGUGAGGUGCCUUCCGAGUUCCCUGGAACGGGACGCCAUAGAGGGUGAGAGCCCCGUAUGGAUGGACACCAAACCUGUGUGAAGCUCCUUCAACGAGUCGAGUAGUUUGGGAAUGCUGCUCUAAAUGGGAGGUAAAUCUCUUCUAAAGCUAAAUACCGGCCAGAGACCGAUAGCGCACAAGUAGAGUGAUCGAAAGAUGAAAAGCACCUUGAAAAGGGGGUUAAACAGUACGUGAAAUUGUUGAAAGGGAAGCGCUUGUGACCAGACUUGCGCCGGGCAGCUCAUCAGGGGUUCUCCCCUGUGCACUCUGCCCGGCUCAGGCCAGCAUCGGUUCUCGUGGGAGGAUAAGAACGGUAGGAACGUGGCCCCCUUCCGGGGGGGUGUUAUAGCCUACCGUACGAUACUCCCGUGGGGACCGAGGUUCGCGCUCCGCAAGGAUGCUGGCGUAAUGGUCAUCAGCGACCCG